This is a non-coding RNA of Vigna umbellata (rice bean), 1479 nucleotides long. The record is from RefSeq and is a predicted model, not a curated record. NCBI's taxonomy places the organism in Eukaryota, Viridiplantae, Streptophyta, Magnoliopsida, Fabales, Fabaceae.
GCAGCCUAGGAGCUAUAGUUGCUCGUCUCGGUUAGUUGCAGGUCUGGGUGCAUGUGCAGCGAAUCAGGGCGGCGAAUGAAGAACAGUGGUCUCUGGAGGAAGACUGUCUUGAUCACAGUGGUCACCAGAGGAAAAUGACGUUCGGUGACUGAGAAAAGGGGCAUACAGUAGCUGCUGGUACUGUCACAAAAAAUAAAGAUAAAGAAAAUCCAAGAUCGAAACCCUAAACUAUUGAUAUCAUAGAAUUGUAGAUGUUCUAAAAAUGUAUUGUGUGUCUAAUGCAGACCACACAGUAUGUAUUUAUACUAUUUUAGAGAGUCAAUUAUAAUAAAAACACCUAAUAAUUAGCAAUCAAUCAUCCUAAUUUUCCUAGAUUAUGUAAUGGUUAAUUUCCUACAAAAUCUGGAAUAGCUGAUUACAUUCUAACAAGCUGAAUGUCCAAUAUUAUAAUGAAGAUCUUAGAUAAUACUUGUCUGAGAACAUAUAUAUCAAUGUAGUGCAUGCAAUCAUGUAUUUAUUUAAAUAUUUGAAAUCCAUGGAUAAAGGAGAGUAAUCAUUAUCUCAACAUUCACACUUUACAAAUUGAACAUGAUUUUAGAUGACCACAGUUCCAUUCUAGGUUACCUUGUAUACUGAUUUCUCUUUGAUGAUAUUUUUGCAGGAUACGAGAUGAUGUUGAGAAAGAGGAUGCUUUUAGAGGCCUAUGUGCUAUGGUCAAAGCUAAUCCUUCUGGAGCUCUAAGCUCGCUUGUUUACAUGUGCAAAGCGAUUGCAAGUUGGCAUGAAAUAAGGAGUGAAGAUUUACACAAUGAAGUCUGCCAGGUCUUGCAUGGGUAUAAACAGAUGCUUCGCAAUGGAGCAUGGGAUCAGUGUAUGUCUGCUUUGGAGCCUCCAGUAAAAGAAAAACUUUCAAAAUAUCAAGUAUAAUUUGUGUGAGCUUUUGUAUCUUCUGCGUUGACCUUGUUGGGCGUUGUGUUGAAAAGCAAUAUUGGAGUCCGGAUUCAUAUGAAGCAGGAGCUUAGUCUCGGUCCAAGUUUCCAGACAGAGUACCAGUACUUGUACAAUUCGUUUGAGCUUGAUGAUUACAAGCAGUUCCACAAGCCUCGAGAUCUCAUUUGAUGGAGUUUCCCAUGAGAAAUGUACAGGGGAAUGACUUUCAACCUUUAGAAAUGCUUGAUUCUUUGUUGUCUUUAUAGUUAAAGCCUUAAUUAAAGGCUAGGAGUUUUAUUCAACCCUUGUGCUCGUCGCCACAGUUUUCCAAUUUCUAUAGUUCAAGUUGAUAGGUUGUGUCUUGGUUACACAGUUUUGUACCACCAGAGAGGGAGGGGAGGGGUAUAUGAUCUGGCUCGUAGUUUCCAGAGUAUUUAGUUUGUUAAAUUGUUUGUAAGAUGUAACUUGAAAACCGAUUUCGACGGUUUUGCCUUAGGCAGCACAUCAUUUAAAUUUUGAUUGGGACAAUAAUUAUUUAAACUUGUGCAUG